CCUACGGGGGGCAGCAGUGAGGAAUAUUGGUCAAUGGGCGAGAGCCUGAACCAGCCAAGUCGCGUGAAGGAUGACUGUCUUAUGGAUUGUAAACUUCUUUUAUACGGGAAUAACAAGAGUCACGUGUGACUCCCUGCAUGUACCGUAUGAAUAAGCAUCGGCUAACUCCGUGCCAGCAGCCGCGGUAAUACGGAGGAUGCGAGCGUUAUCCGGAUUUAUUGGGUUUAAAGGGUGCGUAGGCGGCCUGUUAAGUCAGCGGUGAAAUCUAGGAGCUUAACUCCUAAAUUGCCAUUGAUACUGGCGGGCUUGAGUGUAGAUGAGGUAGGCGGAAUGCGUGGUGUAGCGGUGGAAUGCAUAGAUAUCACGCAGAACUCCGAUUGCGAAGGCAGCUUACUAAGGUACAACUGACGCUGAAGCACGAAAGCGUGGGUAUCAAACAGGAUUAGAUACCCGAGUAGUC
Molecule: ribosomal RNA, 460 nt
Filed under: uncultured Porphyromonas sp.
Lineage: Bacteria; Pseudomonadati; Bacteroidota; Bacteroidia; Bacteroidales; Porphyromonadaceae
Description: bacterial SSU rRNA
Rfam family: Bacterial small subunit ribosomal RNA
Source: RNAcentral